GAUGAAGAACGUAGCGAAAUGCGAUAAGUAAUGCGAAUUGCAGAAUUCAGUGAGUCAUCGAAUCUUUGAACGCACAUUGCGCCCGCUGGUAUUCCGGCGGGCAUGCCUGUUCGAGCGUCAUUUCAACCCUCAAGCUCUCCGGAGUUUGGUGUUGGGGCGCCUGGGGCUUUUCGACCUCAGGGCCCUCAAGUCCAUCGGCGGGACCGCCAGGACACUGAGCGCAGUAGUAUUAUUUCGCUCGGUAGGAUCUUCCACGGCGGGUCGAUCUGGCCGCUAAACCCCCCAAUUCUCACCAAAGGUUGACCUCGGAUCAGGUAGGAAUACCCGCUGAACUUAAGCAUAUCAAUAAGCGGAGGA
Molecule: unclassified non-coding RNA, 357 nt
Filed under: soil metagenome
Description: partial contains 5.8S ribosomal RNA, internal transcribed spacer 2, and large subunit ribosomal RNA
Rfam family: 5.8S ribosomal RNA (bases 1-120)
Source: RNAcentral